This is a long non-coding RNA of Nerophis ophidion (straightnose pipefish), 645 nucleotides long. RefSeq lists it as uncharacterized. The transcript is spliced from 3 exons. Lineage: Eukaryota; Metazoa; Chordata; Actinopteri; Syngnathiformes; Syngnathidae. The record is from RefSeq and is a predicted model, not a curated record.
UUCACAACUGAACAACCCCAGUAAAGGUGAAGAAGAAAGAGAGCGCCAGCAAUACAAACUAAAAAUGAACGAUAAGAAUGUAUAAUGGCGUUGUUCCCCCCUAAACCUCUUUUAAACGAAGGCCCUUUACCGGGCGAGGUGAAGAAAACGGCUCGUAGUUCGUCAUUUCGGGUCACUUGGAGCACUUCUCCGGUGAGGUUCAACCACCUGCCAGCCACCGGUGGAACUCUGCGGAAGUCUAGAAUCCUAAAAGACGAGAAGGGAAUCACAAUGUUACCCAGGUGUACACCAAGGGUCUGAUUUACUAAAGAUUUGAGAGUACCAGUGACGUGCGGUAAACUAAACACCAGUCAAUGAAGCGGUCCUUUGGUCGCCAGCCUCCAGAAGAUGACCUCUCAAUCAUGACUCGCUAUGGCAACGACCCCCAGGGACGAGCAGGGGCCGACAGCCAGGAUGUCAGAUUUGUGCACCGAGGUGGAUUUCCACAAAAUGUCGGCUCUCACCAACACAUCCUACGCAAAUGUAAGUAUUGAAACUAAGACGACAGUUCAUAGAAGCAAAUAAUGCAUGAUUUAUAAUAUCGAUUCACAUUCAAACAACAAUUUUUAUUUAUUCCGAAUUUUUGAGCAUCAAUUAAAAAAAAUA